This 395-nucleotide ribosomal RNA is filed under the name uncultured bacterium. RNAcentral's name for it is "bacterial SSU rRNA". It matches the Rfam family "Bacterial small subunit ribosomal RNA", at positions 144 to 518 of the family's 1533-position model. The record is from RNAcentral.
UAACAUCCGGAAACGGGUGCGUAAUACCGCAUAGUUUUCUUGAUCGCAUGAUUGAGAAAGGAAAGACGGCCUUUGUGCGUGUCGCUUAUGGAUGGACCCGCGGCGUAUUAGUUAGUUGGUGAGGUAACGGCUCACCAAGACGAUGAUACGUAGCCGACCUGAGAGGGUGAUCGGCCACAUUGGGACUGAGACACGGCCCAAACUCCUACGGGAGGCAGCAGUAGGGAAUCUUCCGCAAUGGACGAAAGUCUGACGGAGCAACGCCGCGUGAGUGAAGAAGGUUUUCGGGAAUCGUAAAACUCUGUUGUCAGAGAAGAACAAGUUGGAGAGUAACUGCUCCAGCCUUGACGGGUAUCUGACCAGAAAGCCACGGCUAACUACGUGCCAGCAGCUGC